RNAcentral lists this long non-coding RNA (274 nucleotides) under Elaeis guineensis (African oil palm). Its description in RNAcentral is "long non-coding RNA (EGUI_LNC007136)". The record is from RNAcentral. Lineage: Eukaryota; Viridiplantae; Streptophyta; Magnoliopsida; Arecales; Arecaceae.
GCGAUAUCCUUAAGUAAUCAUUCAAUUAUCUUUUUUUUAUUCUCUUUAUCAACAAAAUAACUAUAAUCUUCUAAUUCAAAAUAACUUUCAAUAAUCUCAAGAUUGCUAUGGCAUUCUAUAAUUAUAUCAAGAUUAAGUUUCCAAAAUAAAUCUAAUGCUAACAAAACAUAAUACAACCAUUCUAUAUUACUCAAAAUAUACCUCUAUAUAUUCAUUGUCUAGUCACGACAAUAUUCUUCUGAGAACUAAGCUUGGUACGUUAAAUGAAAAUUUU